UUACGGUCAUAUUACGUCGAAACAUUGGUUCCGGUACGAUUUAACGAAGUUAAGCAACAUCGAGCCUGGUCAGUACCUAGAUGAGUGAUCGCUUGUGAAUUCCAGGUGCUGUAAG
Molecule: non-coding RNA, 115 nt
Organism: Acanthosepion pharaonis
Lineage: Eukaryota; Metazoa; Mollusca; Cephalopoda; Sepiida; Sepiidae
Source: the annotation of a GenBank genome assembly